Molecule: ribosomal RNA, 253 nt
Filed under: uncultured bacterium
Lineage: Bacteria
Description: partial 16S ribosomal RNA
Rfam family: Bacterial small subunit ribosomal RNA
Source: RNAcentral
GAUCAUGGCUCAGAACGAACGCUGGCGGCAGGCUUAACACAUGCAAGUUGAACGGGAUUUGUGUGGUGCUUGCACCAUAUAAUGAGAGUAGCGCACUGGUGAGUAACACGUGGGAACGCGCCUUUUAGUGGGGGAUAACAUCUGGAAACGGAUGCUAAUACCGCAUACGCCCUGAGGGGGAAAGAUUUAUUGCUAAGAGGUCGGCCCGCGGUAGAUUAGGCAGGUUGGUGGGGUAAAGCCUACCAAACCUACG